This 1918-nucleotide long non-coding RNA is filed under the name Mus musculus (house mouse). RNAcentral's name for it is "long non-coding RNA chrX:151814084-151816002". The record is from RNAcentral. Lineage: Eukaryota; Metazoa; Chordata; Mammalia; Rodentia; Muridae.
GAUUCUCCUGCCUCAUCCUUCAGAAUGCUAAGAUUCCAGGUGUGCAUUAGCACACCUAGCUCUGUUCAUUUUUAAGUAAUUUAAGGUUUUCGUUUUCAUUCUUGUAUCUUGCCUCUCUUCCUUUAGUUGAAUAGACAUAGGUUUUCUAAUUCUCGUGUGCUUCCUCAGCCUCUAAGACUGUUAUGUUGAGAAACCCUGCAAUUGUCUUCUAUGAGUACAGGGUAAUAAUAACAAGUGUUUGGGCCAAGGUGAGAGUUCACAGUGAUACAUUCAAUUGCUAUUACUGUGCUAGUUUAGUCUUUGGAUAAACCUGUAUCUGGUCUUGAGGCCUGUGUCCUGUCUUUUUUAGCUGCCUGCUUCCAACUUUUUCCCUCUUUCCUUCUGCUGGCCCUAAAAUGCAUGUACAUAAUAGUGAGAAACAGUAUGCAAAUUAAUAUUUGAAUGGGUCUAGGCUAUUUUACUAAAUUUAUAUUACUUAUAAGAUGCUUAUCAAAAUCCUACACUUACAUGUUUGUGUAUGUACAGGUAUAUAUAAAACUUAAAAUGUACUUUAUAGGUUGCACUGAGCCUUUAAUAUCAUGAUAUGUAAUAAAAUUAUGUAAUAAAAAAUUAAUAAUAUUUUAAGGUACUGCAAUUAUAGAGUACUCUGUAAAGAUGAGGCCAUUAUAGUUUAUGUAAUGGCUAUGUCACUUAGGGCAAAUUGAGUUAGUUUCCUCACCCUUUAAAUGAGGGCAAUAAUAUUUAUGCAACACCUUUUUUCUAAGGAUGUACUCAUUGGUGCCACAUAGUGGAGAUACAAAAGAUGAGCAAUCCGGUGCUGGUAAGAUGGUUCAACAGUUUAAAGGCAACUGUUAGCAAGUUUGAUUUCUAUCUUAGGAAUCCACAUAGUGGAAGGAGAGAACUAACGUCUGGCAUUUGUUCUCUGACAUUCAUAUAUGCACCGUGGCAUACUCACCCACAUUCCUAUGUAGACCAUACAAAAUGUAGUUUACAAAGAUAAGCAACAGAAAUGGAACUUGCCGGGAGAUUUAUAAAUCACACUGAAAUGCUAGUAUGAACAGUGGGAGGAAUGAGCAAAAUGUUACAGCAGUUUAUAGGGAAGGUGGAGGGAUGGACUGAGACGAGGGAGGGAAAUCUGCAGUUGAAUGUAAUAUAUGAGAGAAAAAUACAAUGAAUAAAAAAAAUUUAAAAUAAUCCCAUUACUAUGAAAAAAAGUAAAGACUAGCUUCAUGGGCAGCAUAGAUCUGUCUACCUUUAGAAGACAAAUUAUAGUCAUGUGCUGUCUAACAAUAUAGUUUCUGCUUGUGGUUUGUUUUGAGAAGAUACCUUAUGUAGCCCAGAAACUCCCUGUAUAGUUGUCAGGAAUGUAUUCUGUAGUGGAAGGUGACAUUAAGAUUUCUGUAAUUGAAACAUUCAUUGUGCAAGACUAGUUUAUUGUUGCUGGUGGUAGAGAUCAGUAAUGAAUUACAGAUACAGAAAUUUAUAUUGCCUAUUGAUGGUGAAAGAUUGUAUUAAUGACAUUUGUAGACAUUUAUUUUAGGAUGUUUCCACAAUAAUGAAGUUUCCCUAAUAGUGCAUUUCUUAUAUUUCUGUUAAGGGAUUCAUUCACCAGCAGCUUUUAAAUAGUAAAAUCUUCUUUAUAUUCCACCAGAAAAGUUGGAACAGAGAACUUAUUAUACAUAUCAGACUCAUUUUGUGGGCCCAGAUUUAAGGGUAAUAACUGGCUAUAGUUAUUAUAUAGUCAUGUAUAGUAUAUAGUAUAGUGGUGGAGUUAGGCACCAAGUUAGGCACAAGUUAAACAGCCCAGUACUGUGCCACUAUGCUGUAGGUUUCCUUUAAGCAACUUGCUUUUAUUUCUAAAUGUGUUACCAGGUGUCAUCUAUGAAAGUACAGAAGUUUCCUCACUGGGGGAAAUUUG